This 1031-nucleotide long non-coding RNA is filed under the name Vigna radiata. RNAcentral's name for it is "long non-coding RNA (VRAD_LNC017646)". The record is from RNAcentral. Lineage: Eukaryota; Viridiplantae; Streptophyta; Magnoliopsida; Fabales; Fabaceae.
AGGAUUCAUGGAAGGAGGGGGAGCAGAGGAAACCAGUGACAGUGGCGAGGGUUUUCUUGUCUUCCUGCUGAUAAUUUUUUGGGUUUUCUUAAUUUUCUUAGAACUUAAUNUAGUAUAGUGUAAUUCCUCUAUGCAGGCCNAAAGGAGAAGGCAAAGGUUCAAUNAGGUAUGCACAAUUUCCAACAAGUAAAAUGUUUUAAUGUUUUAACCACCCUUAUCACCAAAGCAAGAACAAGGGCAUAUUAUACAUACACUAGAACCAGGAACCGAUAUAUUGGGUGGAGGCUAAUGUCUUUUAUUAGCAGUUGNCAUCUGUUAGAUGAAUUUCAUUCACACCUGUUUUCUUACAAUUGUACUAAGAAUGACUUUGACAAGUAAUGGUUGGGCAANAAACCCACAAGGCUUUAACUUAUAUAAGGGUAUAAUUACUUUUUAAGUGGUUGNUGCAUGUCUGUUAAUGUGAUCAGUCUCCUUUUACUCUUUGUGUGUAGCUCAUGGAGUGUCUUAUUCCAGUUGAGGAGAAGAGUAAAGCAAGAGGAAUGCUUUGGCGAGUGAAUUCAGCCCAGUGGUGAUGUAAUAUGUUGCUAGUUCUGAUGGACUAGUUUUGAAGUCCUAAUGUAGAUACCAAACAAAUUAUGCAUGAUAGUGUUAAAGGGUAAAUAUGAAACAGAGAGGAAAAGAUUUGAAAGGUUAAUUUAUACACACAUAGCUUUGCUGAUUAUNUUACAGGAUUAUUCGAAGUUACAUUGCUGCAUAGAGAAAAUGGUUGCAGCCAAGUAAUAUUUNACUAAUUUGAUUGAAGCUGAAGCUGAAGCCAAGUAAUGUUUUAACAUAUUUAGGGGAUGGGAAUUGAAAUUAGAAUGUAUUAGUAAUGUUCGAUGCUCUGGUUUUUCAUGUUUUAGGGAGGAAACUAUCAGUUUUUAAUUAUUAUGUGGAACAUGCUCUGGAAUAUGGAUCUGAUUUCGGAAAAAUUCAUGUUGAAAUAGUUUUUUAUGUUGUAUAGUUCUUUUAUCCUAAAAUGAAAUAAUUAG